This 485-nucleotide ribosomal RNA is filed under the name uncultured bacterium. RNAcentral describes it as "bacterial SSU rRNA". It matches the Rfam family "Bacterial small subunit ribosomal RNA", at positions 28 to 507 of the family's 1533-position model. The record is from RNAcentral.
GAUGAACGCUAGCGGGAGGCUUAACACAUGCAAGUCGAGGGGCAGCAUAGGGUAGCAAUACUCUGAUGGCGACCGGCAAACGGGUGAGUAACGCGUAUGCAACCUACCCUGUACAGGGGGAUAACCCGGAGAAAUUCGGACUAAUAUCCCGUAAUAAUAUCCGGAGGCAUCUUUGGAUAUUUAAAGUUCCGACGGUACGGGAUGGGCAUGCGUAACAUUAACUGGUUGGUAAGGUAACGGCUUACCAAGGCUAUGAUGUUUAGGGGUCCUGAGAGGGUGGUCCCCCACACUGGUACUGAGACACGGACCAGACUCCUACGGGAGGCAGCAGUGAGGAAUAUUGGUCAAUGGGCGCAAGCCUGAACCAGCCAUCCCGCGUGCAGGAAGACGGCCCUAUGGGUUGUAAACUGCUUUUCCAGGGAGAGAACUUACGCACGUGUUGCGUGACUGACGGUACCUGGGAAUAAGCAUCGGCUAACUCCGUG